RNAcentral lists this ribosomal RNA (1371 nucleotides) under uncultured bacterium. RNAcentral's name for it is "bacterial SSU rRNA". It matches the Rfam family "Bacterial small subunit ribosomal RNA", at positions 28 to 1381 of the family's 1533-position model. The record is from RNAcentral.
GAUGAACGCUGGCGGCGUGCCUAAUACAUGCAAGUCGAGCGAACGGACGAGAAGCUUGCUUCUCUGAUGUUAGCGGCGGACGGGUGAGUAACACGUGGAUAACCUACCUAUAAGACUGGGAUAACUUCGGGAAACCGGAGCUAAUACCGGAUAAUAUUUUGAACCGCAUGGUUCAAAAGUGAAAGACGGUCUUGCUGUCACUUAUAGAUGGAUCCGCGCUGCAUUAGCUAGUUGGUAAGGUAACGGCUUACCAAGGCAACGAUGCAUAGCCGACCUGAGAGGGUGAUCGGCCACACUGGAACUGAGACACGGUCCAGACUCCUACGGGAGGCAGCAGUAGGGAAUCUUCCGCAAUGGGCGAAAGCCUGACGGAGCAACGCCGCGUGAGUGAUGAAGGUCUUCGGAUCGUAAAACUCUGUUAUUAGGGAAGAACAUAUGUGUAAGUAACUGUGCACAUCUUGACGGUACCUAAUCAGAAAGCCACGGCUAACUACGUGCCAGCAGCCGCGGUAAUACGUAGGUGGCAAGCGUUAUCCGGAAUUAUUGGGCGUAAAGCGCGCGUAGGCGGUUUUUUAAGUCUGAUGUGAAAGCCCACGGCUCAACCGUGGAGGGUCAUUGGAAACUGGAAAACUUGAGUGCAGAAGAGGAAAGUGGAAUUCCAUGUGUAGCGGUGAAAUGCGCAGAGAUAUGGAGGAACACCAGUGGCGAAGGCGACUUUCUGGUCUGUAACUGACGCUGAUGUGCGAAAGCGUGGGGAUCAAACAGGAUUAGAUACCCUGGUAGUCCACGCCGUAAACGAUGAGUGCUAAGUGUUAGGGGGUUUCCGCCCCUUAGUGCUGCAGCUAACGCAUUAAGCACUCCGCCUGGGGAGUACGACCGCAAGGUUGAAACUCAAAGGAAUUGACGGGGACCCGCACAAGCGGUGGAGCAUGUGGUUUAAUUCGAAGCAACGCGAAGAACCUUACCAAAUCUUGACAUCCUUUGACAACUCUAGAGAUAGAGCUUUCCCCUUCGGGGGACAAAGUGACAGGUGGUGCAUGGUUGUCGUCAGCUCGUGUCGUGAGAUGUUGGGUUAAGUCCCGCAACGAGCGCAACCCUUAAGCUUAGUUGCCAUCAUUAAGUUGGGCACUCUAAGUUGACUGCCGGUGACAAACCGGAGGAAGGUGGGAUGACGUCAAAUCAUCAUGCCCCUUAUGAUUUGGGCUACACACGUGCUACAAUGGACAAUACAAAGGGCAGCGAAACCGUGAGGUCAAGCAAAUCCCAUAAAGUUGUUCUCAGUUCGGAUUGUAGUCUGCAACUCGACUACAUGAAGCUGGAAUCGCUAGUAAUCAUAGAUCAGCAUGCUACGGUGAAUACGUUCCCGGGUCU